CUCAGGAUGGGCACAUUCUGCUCAGGGCCAGCGCUGGCCUGGGCCCAGGGCCAGGGUAUUGCAGAGACCCUCUGUGGGGACAAGGACCUCGUGGAGUUCUGGGCAUGUCCCAAGCAGUUUGGGCCUUGUUAGGGAUGGGGUUGCUAACCCACUGCAUGUGGGACAGCUGUGCAGAGUAGAACCCAUGUGCUCUGGGUGGGCACAGAGACUGCAGGUGUGACAGGCCUCAGGCAGUGCUGCCCAGUGCAAGAGGAAGAUGAAGGCGGCUGUGCUCAGCGUGGCCCUGCUCUUCUCCAUCCUGCUGUGCCCCCCAGCACAGGCCAAGCCACUCCUGGAAGGAACCCAAGAUGAUCUCCAGGAGUUGGAUUUAGACAAUCUUGAGAUCCUGGAGACACCUCUGCCCCCUGUGGCUGAAAAGCUGGAGGGUCUUUUGCGGCAGAAGCGCCUGGCUGCCUCUCUCCAUGGAUAGGAUUGGAACUGUUGGUGAAAACCAUGUCCUGCCCCCCUCCAGUGGCAUGAGGAGAUGAUCAUUCCUGGAGGAAUUGCCUGAUCCCCUGUGAGCCCUGGGCUUUUUUCCUCAAACAAGAAAUAAAUGCAUUCAGCAAAGCCA
Molecule: long non-coding RNA, 610 nt
Filed under: Cyanistes caeruleus (blue tit)
Lineage: Eukaryota; Metazoa; Chordata; Aves; Passeriformes; Paridae
Description: lncRNA (ENSCCEG00000006191.1)
Source: RNAcentral